CCUACGGGAGGCAGCAGUGGGGGAUAUUGCACAAUGGGGGGAACCCUGAUGCAGCGACGCCGCGUGGGUGAAGAAGCGCCUCGGCGCGUAAAGCCCUGUCAGCAGGGAAGAAAAUGACGGUACCUGAAGAAGAAGCCCCGGCUAACUACGUGCCAGCAGACGCGGUAAUACGUAGGGGGCAAGCGUUAUCCGGAUUUACUGGGUGUAAAGGGGGCGCAGACGGCGAUGCAAGCCAGGAGUGAAAGCCCGGGGCCCAACCCCGGGACUGCUCUUGGAACUGCGUGGCUGGAGUGCAGGAGGGGCAGGCGGAAUUCCUGGUGUAGCGGUGGAAUGCGUAGAUAUCAGGAGGAACACCGGUGGCGAAGGCGGCCUGCUGGACUGCAACUGACGUUGAGGCCCGAAAGCGUGGGGAGCAAACAGGAUUAGAUACCCUAGUAGUC
Molecule: ribosomal RNA, 440 nt
Filed under: uncultured bacterium
Lineage: Bacteria
Description: partial 16S ribosomal RNA
Rfam family: Bacterial small subunit ribosomal RNA
Source: RNAcentral